This 804-nucleotide ribosomal RNA is filed under the name uncultured bacterium. RNAcentral describes it as "bacterial SSU rRNA". It matches the Rfam family "Bacterial small subunit ribosomal RNA", at positions 1 to 810 of the family's 1533-position model. The record is from RNAcentral.
GAAUUCGCCCUUAGAGUUUGAUUCUGGCUCAGGACGAACGCUGGCGGCGCGCCUAACACAUGCAAGUCGAACGGAGUUGUGUUGAAAGCUUGCUGGAUAUACAACUUAGUGGCGGACGGGUGAGUAACACGUGAGUAACCUGCCUCUGAGUGGAAUAACGUUUGGAAACGAACGCUAAUACCGCAUAACGUGAGAAGAGGGCAUCCUCUUUUUACCAAAGAUUUAUCGCUGAGAGAUGGGCUCGCGGCCGAUUAGGUAGUUGGUGAGAUAACAGCCCACCAAGCCGACGAUCGGUAGCCGGACUGAGAGGUUGAUCGGCCACAUUGGGACUGAGACACGGCCCAGACUCCUACGGGAGGCAGCAGUGGGGGAUAUUGCACAAUGGGGGAAACCCUGAUGCAGCGACGCCGCGUGAGGGAAGACGGUUUUCGGAUUGUAAACCUCUGUCUUUAGGGACGAAAAAAUGACGGUACCUAGGGAGGAAGCCACGGCUAACUACGUGCCAGCAGCCGCGGUAAUACGUAGGUGGCAAGCGUUGUCCGGAAUUACUGGGUGUAAAGGGAGCGUAGGCGGGGAGACAAGUUGAAUGUCUAAACUAUCGGCUUAACUGAUAGUCGCGUUCAAAACUAUCACUCUUGAGUGCAGUAGAGGUAGGCGGAAUUCCUAGUGUAGCGGUGAAAUGCGUAGAUAUUAGGAGGAACACCAGUGGCGAAGGCGGCCUACUGGGCUGCAACUGACGCUGAGGCUCGAAAGCGUGGGUAGCAAACAGGAUUAGAUACCCUGGUAGUCCACGCCGUAAACGAU